Molecule: long non-coding RNA, 201 nt
Filed under: Lathyrus oleraceus (garden pea)
Lineage: Eukaryota; Viridiplantae; Streptophyta; Magnoliopsida; Fabales; Fabaceae
Description: Pisum sativum (pea) long non-coding RNA (PSAT_LNC002948)
Source: RNAcentral
UAAAAUUAGGGUCUUACAGAUGCCUCUAUUUAAUGUCAUUCUAGCCGGAGAUAUGAAGGUUAAAAUCUUUGUCUCGACGAGGUAGAAUGGGCUUAAAUAAUAACAAAGAGACGAAUUUUGGUCCCUAAGAUACCACAUGAUGCAGAUGUAUGCAUGCAAAAGUUAAUACUCUGUGGUGGAAUACAUGGCCACAAAGGAAAA